Molecule: long non-coding RNA, 1407 nt
Filed under: Vigna radiata
Lineage: Eukaryota; Viridiplantae; Streptophyta; Magnoliopsida; Fabales; Fabaceae
Description: long non-coding RNA (VRAD_LNC013878)
Source: RNAcentral
GAAGGGUUAGGGUUUCUUUUUAUUAUAAUUGGAUGAUUAAGGAUUUGGAAUCCUGAAAAAUGUUAAUUAGGAAUAAUUAGAAAUUAAGAAUCUGUUAAUGUUAAUAUGUUAAUCCCUGUGAAUGGUAAUUUCUGAUUACCUUCUUAAUUCUAAUUCUAAUUGUUUAAUUCAAUUAGAUAUCUACCCUAAUUAGUUUUCCAAAAGCGGAUUCUUAAAUCAGAAACUUUUCCCUUCGUUUUCUUUCACUUAAUCGGAAACUUUUCCCAUCUUAGCUUCUUCUUCUUCCACGACGAAACUCUGUUUGAGGGUUCUUUGAUCUCGCGCGAGAAGCUAGGGGGCACUCACCUUCAUCCUUUCCUUUCCUGGUUCUAGGUUCGUCUUGGAAGAGAGGGGAGACGUUCUUCUUUCCUUCAUUAUCUGGUACUGUUUCGGUUUCACAAGGGAGCAAAAGACGUUCCUCUUUCCUUGUUCUUUCUCUUGUUUCUGGUGUCGUUCUGGUUGCAGGGAGAGGGAUGCGAAACCAGUUGCUCCGACGUGAUAUCCAUCUUCGCAGCCAGUGGACGUCAUAGUAGCGGCAUCUCUGCGACGACGCAAGGAUUUCAUUCCCGGCGUCUCUGCGGUGACGAGAGUCUCAGUUCUCGGUUCGUGAGCGUUCUUGCGGUGGCGCAUGAUGUUUUGUGUUAGGGUUUCAAAUUGGGGAUUUUGUUUCUACUUUCGCAUUUCUAAUCUUGAAACCUUGGGUUUUAAUUGAUCUUGUGAGGUUGCAUUUUUGGGGUUAGAUCUCAUGAACAUGUUGCUUUGUGUUCGGGUUUUGUUUCUCGAGAUUUUGGAUCUUCCUGUGGUGGUUUUGGGUUCCCGGGGUGGUUGUCGAUGGUUGCAUGAGCGGAGUCAAGGAAGGCGUUGGUGGGUGCGGCGAUGGAUGUAUGGAUGUUGCGAUGGCUGGUCUAGUGAAUCUUUCAUGGGCUUACUUAUUUGGGUCGGGUCAGUUGGACCGUGAAAUCCAUUGAUGAUCAGAAUUGUAAAUUGUAAUAGUAAAGACCAAAUAUAAUAAUAAAAUUUUUAAUCGGGCUGUAGGUCCAUAAUUUGACACCAUUGACGGUGGACUGUGACUGAUUCAACUUAAACUUAAUUAGACUCCAAGUUUGAAGUUUGGACUAUUUUGGGCUUUGGGCCUGGUUGUGCCUGGUGACUCACAAGAAGUCUUGGUUUAAUCAAGGAAUUGAUGAAGACAUACUAAAUUAAAAUUAAUAAUAUGAUAAAGAUUAUGUCUUUGAAAUUAAAAUAAUGGGAAUUAAAAUCAAUUAAUUACUAGUUUACGAAAUGGGAAAUAUGAAAUAAAUAUUAAUUGGUUUUAAAAGAUGAAAAUAAUGAGAUUAUAAUCAUUAAUUAGGAAAUUACUAAUUUUAG